GUAUUUCAGGACAGCCAGGAGGGGGCGCACAUCCGCCGAGAAACUGUGAGCAAGAGCGUCUGUGCUGAACCAUGGCGCCACCAGAGGGCGCGCGAUCCCGCCGCAACCAACUUCCCGCUGAGGUGCCAGAAGCAGCGAGGAGCUUCGACUUCCUCAGGGCAGCACGGGGGUCGCGUUAACUUGGUGUUCUUCAUUGAUGAUGAUUAUUCCCCACCUUCUAAGAGACAAAGACCAACGAGCCACCACAGCCACCAGUCCCAGAACCCGCCAAUGCUGGGGAACGGAAAAUGAGGGAGUUCAACUCUGGCCCUCACAAUCCAGUGGAGGAGACGAAACUCAUCUGCCUCUGUCCCUCUGGGCACGCCUCAUGCCAGGUGCAUCUGUGGACAGGGGCCAUGCUCCUGGGCUUCCAAAGUUGGAGAAAGCUGCCAGGCUCAGGUCUGAAGGCCAGAAUUCUACAGUAAGUCCUACUGAGUCAAGGUGGGAGCAGGGUCGGUAGCUUCCGAGGCUCUGCGGGAGAAUCCGUUUCCUGGCCGUAGAGGUGGCCUGCACUCUGCAGCUUGUGCUGCCCGUCUCGAAUGACUGGAGUUUCCUGCUUCUGUCACUACACCUCCCACCCUCUCCAUCACCUGCUCUGCUCUUACAAGGAUCCGAAGAAAUGGAAUCAUCGUAUCGCUGAUCUACGUAAACAAACUGAAGAAUUGUCUGAAAGAAAAUAUGACAUGAACUUAUGAAUUCAACAGGUGAAGAUUUACAACUUGAUAAAUCAACUUUGUCAGCUCGAGCUGUAAAAGCCAAAGGUCCGGUGAUGAUCCCAUACCCUUUUUUCCAGUCUCAUGUUGAAGAUUUUUAUGUAGAAGGCCUUCCCAAAGGAAUUUUUUUUUUUUUUUUUUUUUUGAGAUGGAGUUUUCACUCUUAUCGCCCAGGCUGGGGUGCAAUGGCGCAACCUUGCUGGUCACUGCAACCUCUGCCUCCUGGGUUCAAGAAAUUCUCCUGCCUUAGCCUCCCAAGUCACUGGGAUUACAGGUGCCCACCACCACACCAGGCUAAUUUUUGUAUUUUUAGUGGAGAUGCGGUUUCACCAUGUUGGCCGGGCCAGUCUCGAACUCCUGACGUCAAGUGAUCUUCCCGCCUCGACUCCUGAUAUCAAGUGAUCUUCCCGCCUCGGCCUCCCAGAAUGCUGAGAUUACAGACGUGAACCCAUGCCUGGCCAGGAAUUUUGUUUUUUAGGAAGGCUUUCUACUAAUGGAAUUCCUGGCCUUGAGAGGAUGUUACUUUAGAAGGAAAGGAUUUUUUUGUUAUUAAAAGCUGGACCUACCAUGAAAGACUUCUGAAUCCAGGAAGAGAAACUGACUGGGCAACAUGUUAUUCAA
RNAcentral lists this long non-coding RNA (1373 nucleotides) under Homo sapiens (human). RNAcentral describes it as "novel transcript". Lineage: Eukaryota; Metazoa; Chordata; Mammalia; Primates; Hominidae. The record is from RNAcentral.